AUCUGGGCGGCGGAAUUCAGGACGGUCGGGCGGGCCUCGCGCUCGUCGGGCCGUUUGAUAUUUCCGUCGCCGUGUCAGACGUCGCGACCUGUUCGUCGCCGGUCCUUGCUCGGAGGAAGCGCGAUCGAGUUCGUUGCGGGCGCGUUUCGGCGCGUUCCGCGGCGAAGACGCGACUCUCUGGCUGGCGACGGACAGUAAGCAACGGUGUCCGGCGUCGUGUCUCGCACUCGACGUCGGUGCCGGUCGGCGACGAUUUCUUCGGGCCUCUUUCCGACCCGUCUUGAAACACGGACCAAGGAGUCUAACAUGCGCGCGAGUCGCGGGGUUUCGAGCGUGCCACGGUGCGCUCGUUACUUCCGAAACCCGUACGUUGAAGGCGUAAUGAAAGUGAAUAGGGAAGAUGGCGUUCCGAGUCCACGUACCGUGAUCGAGUAUCGCGGCCGGACGUCCGCACUCCCGGGGCGUCUCAAUGGCUCGCCACGGAUGCGGACGGUCGUCUCUCGGGGCGGCCGUCGGUCUGUGGCGGUCCGA
This 531-nucleotide ribosomal RNA is filed under the name Aulacaspis tubercularis (white mango scale). Its description in RNAcentral is "eukaryotic LSU rRNA". Lineage: Eukaryota; Metazoa; Arthropoda; Insecta; Hemiptera; Diaspididae. The record is from RNAcentral.